GCUAAGGUAGCAUAAUCAUUUGUUAUUUAAUUGGUAACUGGAAUGAAAGGUUAAACUAGCUUAUUAAGUUUGUAGGGCUAAAUAGGAGUUUAAAGUUAAGGUAAGAAUGCUUUAAUUUUUUAGGGGACGAUAAGACCCUAGAAGCUUAACGAGUAGUUGUUUUGUUUUAUAAAUUUGUUCGUUUUACUGGGGCGGUAAAAAUAAUUAAGCUAUUUGUUAUUUAGAGGAUCCUUAAAAUAAAGAAAAAAUGGAGAAGUUACUCUAGGGAUAA
This 271-nucleotide ribosomal RNA is filed under the name Gammarus sp. t TM-2021. RNAcentral describes it as "partial 16S ribosomal RNA". The record is from RNAcentral. Lineage: Eukaryota; Metazoa; Arthropoda; Malacostraca; Amphipoda; Gammaridae.